GGAGUAAACCAGAUGGUUGCGGGGACGCUUGCGUCAACGAGGAAAGUCCGAGCUUCGCAGGGCAGGGUGCCGGGUAACUCCCGGUGGAGGCGACUCUAAGGAUAGUGCAACAGAAAUAAACUGCCUUAUUUUAAGGCGAUGGUGGAAAGGUGAGGUAAGAGCUCACCGGCGCCCUGGCGACUAGGCGGCCAUGUAAACCCCACCCGAAGCAACACCGUGUUGGCUCGUUUGGGCUUAGUCGGCCCGAUUUGCCCAAACUUGGCGGUGGCUUGAACCGUAUAGUAAUAUGCGGUCUAGAUAGAUAAUCAUCAAAUACAAAACUCGGCUUAUAGGUUUGCUCUAAAU
Molecule: RNase P RNA, 345 nt
Filed under: Oscillospiraceae bacterium
Lineage: Bacteria; Bacillati; Bacillota; Clostridia; Eubacteriales; Oscillospiraceae
Description: RNase P RNA component class A
Rfam family: Bacterial RNase P class A
About the family: Ribonuclease P (RNase P) is a ubiquitous endoribonuclease, found in archaea, bacteria and eukarya as well as chloroplasts and mitochondria.
Source: RNAcentral